Apis florea (little honeybee) is the source of this 455-nucleotide long non-coding RNA. RefSeq lists it as uncharacterized. The record is from RefSeq and is a predicted model, not a curated record. Lineage: Eukaryota; Metazoa; Arthropoda; Insecta; Hymenoptera; Apidae.
AUAUUUGUAUCUACUGAUUUUUGUAUAUAGUUAGCCACGAAUAAAAUAGGAAGUUAAACGAAGAAUAGAGAUGACAAUUGACUGACGUAUUUGAUUUGUUUAAAUCAAAUUUAAAAUUGCGGUAAAAUUUUUUUACAAAAUUUGAUAAAGAAAAAUUUAUCAGAAGACACUCACCAAGCCUAAUGAUCAACGAAGGAUAUCUCUGGUUGAAAUUCUAAUAUUAGCGCACUACAUUCUCCAGUCGAUACUCUAGAUAUCCACCACUACCACAGAUUUCUUGCGAUGGCACGCGACCAUGUCUGUACGCGUGUGUAAAUGUAAAAGCAUCACGACGAAACACAACGAUGCUGCCAAAAUACAAGCACCUCACCUUUCGAGAUAUGCGAUUCUGCUAAUCCGUCAGGAACGUUUCGUUACUAAAUCGCGUCCAGCAUGGAGCGAACUGUUUCUAGAUU